UACGUAGGGGGCUAGCGUUGUCCGGAAUCAUUGGGCGUAAAGAGCGUGUAGGCGGCCCGGUAAGUCCGCUGUGAAAGUCGGGGGCUCAACCCUCGAAUGCCGGUGGAUACUGUCGGGCUAGAGUGCGGAAGAGGCGAGUGGAAUUCCUGGUGUAGCGGUGAAAUGCGCAGAUAUCAGAAGGAACACCUGUGGUGUAGACGGCUUUCUGGACGAUUCCUGACGCUGAGACACGAAAGCGUGGGUAGCAAACAGG
RNAcentral lists this ribosomal RNA (253 nucleotides) under uncultured bacterium. RNAcentral describes it as "partial 16S ribosomal RNA". It matches the Rfam family "Bacterial small subunit ribosomal RNA", at positions 524 to 776 of the family's 1533-position model. The record is from RNAcentral.